UGACAACCCGUGACAUAAAGCACAAAAGUUUAUUUCUUACUCGUGCUUUAUAUCCAUUGUGAGUAGACUGAGGCUCUACCUGGCAGUGUCCUCACUCUGGGAUAGGCUGACAGAGCAGCCCCCAUUUGGAGCAAGCAGUCACUGAAGCAGAGCUAGCUUGACCACAUAUUAUCCCCUCCACCCAUGCCGUUUCGGAAAUGCAGCAACCCAGAUGUGGCUUCUGGCCCUGGAAAAUCACUGAAGUAUAAAAGACAGCUGAGUGAGGAUGGAAGACAGCUAAGGCGAGGGAGCCUGGGAGGAGCCCUGACUGUUCGUUGAAUCUGGAUGUGACAGCUGACUGUAAUGUUACUCCAAGGGAGUGAAG
This 364-nucleotide long non-coding RNA is filed under the name Pan troglodytes (chimpanzee). Its description in RNAcentral is "long non-coding RNA NONPTRT014070". Lineage: Eukaryota; Metazoa; Chordata; Mammalia; Primates; Hominidae. The record is from RNAcentral.